Molecule: ribosomal RNA, 530 nt
Filed under: uncultured Staphylococcus sp.
Lineage: Bacteria; Bacillati; Bacillota; Bacilli; Caryophanales; Staphylococcaceae
Description: bacterial SSU rRNA
Rfam family: Bacterial small subunit ribosomal RNA
Source: RNAcentral
UAAGAGUUUUGGAUCUGGCUCAGGAUGAACGCUGGCGGCGUGCCUAAUACAUGCAAGUCGAGCGAACAGACGGGGAGCUUGCUCCCCCGACGUUAGCAGCGGACGGGUGAGUAACACGUGGGUAACCUACCUAUAAGACUGGAAUAACUCCGGGAAACCGGGGCUAAUGCCGGAUAACAUGUUGGACCGCAUGGUCCUACAGUGAAAGACGGUCUUGCUGUCACUUAUAGAUGGACCCGCGCCGUAUUAGCUAGUUGGUAAGGUAACGGCUUACCAAGGCAACGAUACGUAGCCGACCUGAGAGGGUGAUCGGCCACACUGGAACUGAGACACGGUCCAGACUCCUACGGGAGGCAGCAGUAGGGAAUCUUCCGCAAUGGGCGAAAGCCUGACGGAGCAACGCCGCGUGAGUGAUGAAGGCCUUCGGGUCGUAAAACUCUGUUAUUAGGGAAGAACAAAUGUGUAAGUAACUAUGCACGUCAUGACGGUACCUAAUCAGAAAGCCACGGCUAACUACUCAGCGCACCCGU